AGACUUUGAUUCUGGCUCAGAACGAACGCUGGCGGCAGGCCUAACACAUGCAAGUCGAACGCCCCGCAAGGGGAGUGGCAGACGGGUGAGUAACGCGUGGGAACCUUCCCAAUGGUGCGGAAUAGCCCAGGGAAACUUGGAGUAAUACCGCAUAAGCCCUUAGGGGGAAAGAUUUAUCGCCAUUGGAUGGGCCCGCGUCGGAUUAGCUAGUUGGUAGGGUAACGGCCUACCAAGGCGACGAUCCGUAGCUGGUUUGAGAGAAUGACCAGCCACACUGGGACUGAGACACGGCCCAGACUCCUACGGGAGGCAGCAGUGGGGAAUCUUGGACAAUGGGCGAAAGCCUGAUCCAGCCAUGCCGCGUGAGUGACGAAGGCCUUAGGGUUGUAAAGCUCUUUUGCCGGGGACCAUAAUGACGGUACCCGGAGAAAAAGUUCCCGGCUAACUUCGUGCCAGCAGCCGCGGUUAAACAAAAGGGACUA
Molecule: ribosomal RNA, 482 nt
Filed under: uncultured bacterium
Lineage: Bacteria
Description: bacterial SSU rRNA
Rfam family: Bacterial small subunit ribosomal RNA
Source: RNAcentral